Molecule: ribosomal RNA, 497 nt
Filed under: uncultured bacterium
Lineage: Bacteria
Description: partial 16S ribosomal RNA
Rfam family: Bacterial small subunit ribosomal RNA
Source: RNAcentral
GACGAACGCUGGCGGCGUGCCUAAUACAUGCAAGUUGAGCGAUGAAGCUUGGUGCUUGCACCAAUUUGAAGAGCAGCGAACGGGUGAGUAACGCGUGGGGAAUCUGCCUUUGAGCGGGGGACAACAUUUGGAAACGAAUGCUAAUACCGCAUAAUAACUUUAAACAUAAGUUUUAAGUUUGAAAGAUGCAAUUCCAUCACUCAAAGAUGAUCCCGCGUUGUAUUAGCUAGUUGGUGAGGUAAAGGCUCACCAAGGCGAUGAUACAUAGCCGACCUGAGAGGGGGAUCGGCCACAUUGGGACUGAGACACGGCCCAAACUCCUACGGGAGGCAGCAGUAGGGAAUCUUCGGCAAUGGACGAAAGUCUGACCGAGAAACGCCGCGUGAGUGAAGAAGGUUGUCGGAUCGUAAAAAUCUGUUGGUAGAGAAGAACGUUGGUGAGAGUGGAAAGCUCAUAAAGUGACGGUAACUACCCAGAAAGGGACGGCUAACUACGUG